CGUACACUCCUGCGGGAGGCAGCAGUGGGGAAUAUUAGACAAUGGGCGCAAGCCUGAUCCAGCCAUGCCGCGUGAGUGAUGAAGGCCCUAGGGUUGUAAAGCUCUUUCACCGGUGAAGAUAAUGACGGUAACCGGAGAAGAAGCCCCGGCUAACUUCGUGCCAGCAGCCGCGGUAAUACGAAGGGGGCUAGCGUUGUUCGGAUUUACUGGGCGUAAAGCGCACGUAGGCGGACUAUUAAGUCAGGGGUGAAAUCCCGGGGCUCAACCCCGGAACUGCCUUUGAUACUGGUAGUCUUGAGUUCGAGAGAGGUGAGUGGAAUUCCGAGUGUAGAGGUGAAAUUCGUAGAUAUUCGGAGGAACACCAGUGGCGAAGGCGGCUCACUGGCUCGAUACUGACGCUGAGGUGCGAAAGCGUGGGGAGCAAACAUGAUUAGAUACCCGUGUAGUCCC
Molecule: ribosomal RNA, 450 nt
Filed under: uncultured organism
Description: partial 16S ribosomal RNA
Rfam family: Bacterial small subunit ribosomal RNA
Source: RNAcentral